RNAcentral lists this ribosomal RNA (490 nucleotides) under uncultured bacterium. Its description in RNAcentral is "bacterial SSU rRNA". It matches the Rfam family "Bacterial small subunit ribosomal RNA", at positions 31 to 507 of the family's 1533-position model. The record is from RNAcentral.
GAACGCUAGCUACAGGCUUAACACAUGACAAGUCGAGGGCAGCACGUAGGUAGACAAUACGUGAGGCGGUUUUCGACCGGCGCGACGGGUGCGUAACGCGUAUGACAACCUACUAUAACAGGGGGAUAACACUGAGAAAUUGGUACUAAUACCCCGUAACAUCAGAGGAGGCAUCUUCUUUGGUUGAAAGUUCCGGCGGUUAUAGAUGGGCAUGCGUUGUAUUAGCUAGUUGGUGGGGUAAUGGCUCACCAAGGCGACGAUACAUAGGGGGACUGAGAGGUUAACCCCCCACAUUGGUACUGAGACACGGACCAAACUCCUACGGGAGGCAGCAGUGAGGAAUAUUGGACAAUGGAUGGAAAUCUGAUCCAGCCAUGCCGCGUGCAGGAUGACGGCCCUAUGGGUCUUAAACUGCUUUUGUACGGGAGCAAUAAGUACUACGUGUAGUAUGAUGAGAGUACCGUACGAAUAAGCAUCGGCUAACUCCGUG